CGGAGGAUCCAAGCGUUAUCCGGAAUCAUUGGGUUUAAAGGGUCCGUAGGCGGUUUAGUAAGUCAGUGGUGAAAGCCCAUCGCUCAACGGUGGAACGGCCAUUGAUACUGCUAGACUUGAAUGAUUAGGAAGUAACUAGAAUAUGUAGUGUAGCGGUGAAAUGCUUAGAGAUUACAUGGAAUACCAAUUGCGAAGGCAGGUUACUACUAAUGGAUUGACGCUGAUGGACGAAAGCGUGGGUAGCGAACAGGAUUAGAUACCCUGGUAGUCCACGCCGUAAACGAUGGAUACUAGCUGUUGGGAGCAAUCUCAGUGGCUAAGCGAAAGUGAUAAGUAUCCCACCUGGGGAGUACGGGCGCAAGCCUG
This 366-nucleotide ribosomal RNA is filed under the name uncultured organism. RNAcentral describes it as "bacterial SSU rRNA". It matches the Rfam family "Bacterial small subunit ribosomal RNA", at positions 526 to 896 of the family's 1533-position model. The record is from RNAcentral.